RNAcentral lists this transfer RNA (83 nucleotides) under Mycolicibacterium moriokaense. RNAcentral describes it as "tRNA-Tyr". It matches the Rfam family "tRNA". Rfam says of the family: Transfer RNA (tRNA) molecules are approximately 80 nucleotides in length. Lineage: Bacteria; Bacillati; Actinomycetota; Actinomycetes; Mycobacteriales; Mycobacteriaceae. The record is from RNAcentral.
GGCAGGUUGCCCGAGCGGCCAAUGGGAGCGGACUGUAAAUCCGUCGGCGUUAGCCUUCGUUGGUUCAAAUCCAACACCUGCCA